AACUGAGGGGCUUGUCCACCCGUAACAGCUGGUAAUUCACCAGCCCAAAAGGUGUAGGGUUCCUUAAGCCAGGGUCUCACUGGGAUCUUGUGUCUUCACAUCGCCUCUAAGUAGUAACUCUGGUAACUGCUGUUUGUUCAGAAAGUUGGAAAUAUAAAACGAAGGAGUCAGCGGGGCUGCAUUCCUUCUGGAGACCUGAGGAGAAUCCUUUUGAUGAAUGCUAGCUAUAUGCAAAAUCUUGGAUUUGCGUAUGACUUCAAGAACAUCUACCAGCACUGUAUGAGAGAGAAAAAGCCAGCCUCCUCAAAUAACUUGGCUUAAACAAGCUAUUUAUUGUACUCAGCAUCUUUCAGCACUAGGAGAGCUAACCAGUAUAGAAGAAGUCUCUGGGAAAUUUGAUUUUUCCAUAUUCUAUAACUCAAGUAUGUGCUGUCUUCAGAGAUAAGGUCUCACUGGUAAGUUCUGAAGAGUUACUGAGAGAAGUGACAAUGGCUCAUAAUAUUUAGAGGUUUGGGAGGCCUCACUGCUCAGAAGCUCCAAAAGAAGUAACCCAUCCUGGACUGGGGGUUUUAUUUGUAAGGGUUUCCUGUAUUUUAGUGACUAAAAUCUAAGUUGCAUGGCAAAAGCUGAUGUCAUGGGCAGGAAUGACACUUGUUUCACAUGGAAAAGCACUAAAUAUAUUCAACAAUAAUAUAACCUGUCACUCUCUUAUUAUAACACUACCUUUUACAUUAUUCUCUUUGCUAUGUAAAAUAUUCUCUACUCAUAAAACUAAAAAAUGGGAGGGAACAAAUAUCUAAUAAACAUUUGAAGAGUGACAAAUG
This 824-nucleotide long non-coding RNA is filed under the name Mus spretus (western wild mouse). RNAcentral's name for it is "lncRNA (ENSMSPG00010035001.1)". The record is from RNAcentral. Lineage: Eukaryota; Metazoa; Chordata; Mammalia; Rodentia; Muridae.